RNAcentral lists this ribosomal RNA (774 nucleotides) under uncultured Neocallimastigales. RNAcentral describes it as "partial large subunit ribosomal RNA". It matches the Rfam family "Eukaryotic large subunit ribosomal RNA", at positions 23 to 643 of the family's 3401-position model. The record is from RNAcentral. Lineage: Eukaryota; Fungi; Neocallimastigomycota; Neocallimastigomycetes; Neocallimastigales.
GAGACUCUGUGCGCGUGCAUAUCAAUAAGCGGAGGAAAAGAAACUAACAAGGAUUCCCCUAGUAACGGCGAGUGAAGCGGGAAGAGCUCAAAUUUGAAAUCUUGAAGGGUUUCCCUUUACGAAUUGUAGUUUAAAGAAGUGUUUUCUGUUGGAGUUUCGGUAAAAGUUCUUUGGAAUAGGACAUCAUAGAGGGUGAGAAUCCCGUAUUUGGUCAUUCUUUCUAGCUUUGUGAUACACUUUCAACGAGUCGGAUUGUUUGGGAAUGCAGUCCAAAAUGGGUGGUAAAUUUCAUCUAAAGCUAAAUAUUGGCGAGAGACCGAUAGCGAACAAGUACCGUGAGGGAAAGAUGAAAAGAACUUUGAAAAGAGAGUUAAACAGUACGUGAAAUUGUCAAAAGGGAAGCGUUUGACACCAGUGUUGUUUUUCCGAAAAUCAAUUACGAAUGUUUUAUUUUUGAGAAGUUAUGACUUCAUCGGCUUGCUUCUCUCUUUAUGAAACUUUCUUAAUGCACUUUUCGGUUAACAAGUCAACAUCAAUUUCUUUUGUUGUAAAAGGGUAUGAGGAAGGUGGCUUUCUUUUCGGAGAAAGUGUUUAUAGCCUUGUACCUCUGCAAUCGGAGAGAUUGAGGUCUGCAGCGUAGAUCCUUCGGGGUUAGAUACAUUUGUGCUAGGUUAUAGCUUUUCAUAGACAACUUGUUGACUAUGUUUAGUCUUGUAGCUUACUCGCUUAUGCUAUUUUACCUACGCUUAGGAUGUUGAAGAUGUAGCACAUCAU